GGCUCCAUAGUGUGUAGUGGUUAGCAUGUCUGCUUUACACUCAGAAGGUCCUGGGUUCGCGCCCCAGGUGGAGCCA
RNAcentral lists this transfer RNA (76 nucleotides) under Pteropus alecto (black flying fox). It matches the Rfam family "tRNA". Rfam says of the family: Transfer RNA (tRNA) molecules are approximately 80 nucleotides in length. Lineage: Eukaryota; Metazoa; Chordata; Mammalia; Chiroptera; Pteropodidae. The record is from Rfam by way of RNAcentral. RNAcentral also lists the same sequence under 1 other name.